ACGGGUGAGUAACACGUAUCCAACCUGCCGUCUACUCUUGGACAGCCUUCUGAAAGGAAGAUUAAUACAAGAUGGCAUCAUGAGUCCGCAUGUUCACAUGAUUAAAGGUAUUCCGGUAGACGAUGGGGAUGCGUUCCAUUAGAUAGUAGGCGGGGUAACGGCCCACCAAGACUACGAUGGAUAGGGGUUCUGAGAGGAAGGUCCCCCACAUUGGAACUGAGACACGGUCCAA
This 232-nucleotide ribosomal RNA is filed under the name uncultured bacterium. RNAcentral describes it as "partial 16S ribosomal RNA". It matches the Rfam family "Bacterial small subunit ribosomal RNA", at positions 102 to 334 of the family's 1533-position model. The record is from RNAcentral.